AUGUGGCAAGGGGAUACUCGUUGUAGCUUCCGUUAUGAAGAAACCAUUCAUUGUUGUGUAGCACGUAUUGCAUGGCAAGCUGUGUAUUUAGCCUUUAAUAUCACCCUGCCCCAUACUAUUUCACAUAUUUUUGGGUCCUGGCUAAGGGGGGUUGAUAAAUCUUUAAGAUCUCUUAUUCUAGUUGGGGCAGCAGCGGUGCUUUUGUCUAUCUGGCUAUGCAGAAAUGACGUCAUUUUUUACAAGAAAAAUGUUCAUUCUUGUAUGCAGGUGCUAGUCUCAUGUACCAAUUGGCUGUUGUUAUGGACGUUAUUACACAAGGCCCAACACAAGGUGCUGAUGGAGCUUGAUGCAAAGAAGCUCGAGUGGAUUACCAAGUAG
Molecule: ribosomal RNA, 378 nt
Filed under: Triticum aestivum (bread wheat)
Lineage: Eukaryota; Viridiplantae; Streptophyta; Magnoliopsida; Poales; Poaceae
Description: partial small subunit ribosomal RNA
Source: RNAcentral